RNAcentral lists this long non-coding RNA (491 nucleotides) under Marmota monax (woodchuck). The record is from RNAcentral. Lineage: Eukaryota; Metazoa; Chordata; Mammalia; Rodentia; Sciuridae.
AUGGCGGGGCGCUCACAAGUGGACUCUGGCGGACGCCUGGAUGAGCACCCACCCUAAGUAUUUAGAAAUGAUGGAAUUAAAUAUUGGAGAUGCCACUCAAGUUUAUAUAGCAUUCUUGGUUUACCUGGACCUCAUGGAGAGUAAAAGUUGGUAUGAUGUAAUUUGUGUGGGAUUACCUGAACUUCAGCCCAUCUGCCUGAUUGAUACUGAGAUAGAAGGGGAAGGGUUACAGACUGUGUUGCCUACACCCAUCUCUGCUUCCCUCAGCUAUCAAAGGAUAAGGGACAUCUUGAAGGCAUCUCAAAAACUACGAGGGAAUCCGGAUUUACCGAUGUCUUUCACUCUGGCCAUCUUGGAGUUCGAUUCUACAAUAGUCUAUUAUAAACUCACUGAAGGGUUUAUGCUGCCAGACCCUCAGAAUAUUACCCUUAGAAGAUAACAUCUGUACUUCUCAACACUUUAUUCAUAAAAGAUUGGUUUUGAGAUCCAUU